This 377-nucleotide long non-coding RNA is filed under the name Lathyrus oleraceus (garden pea). Its description in RNAcentral is "Pisum sativum (pea) long non-coding RNA (PSAT_LNC011997)". The record is from RNAcentral. Lineage: Eukaryota; Viridiplantae; Streptophyta; Magnoliopsida; Fabales; Fabaceae.
GAAAUUCCCCAUCUCUCUCUCCACACUCUCCCAACGGUAAUAUAAAAAAAAACAAAAAUAAAUACAAGGAGGACCACACACGUGACCGGUCUCCUCAAUCUGAAUUUCUCUCUCUCACUAAAAAACAAAAGAAAAAGAAAAGUUGGCACUAAGGAAAAGAUAAGGUUGACCAUUAGAAAAUAGUGAGAUUCCUCUCACAAUAGCUCUCUCUCGGGGAAAUAAGAAAAAGAAAAAAAGAAAAAGUGCCUUUGGGCUCUCUCUUUGGGGGAUUGGAAAUGAAAAAUAAAAACGGAGGACUAUUCCCCUUCGCACUGCCGCCGUCACUCACCUUCAUUUCCUUCACCCUCCUUCACCGGCGACCGCCACCCUUCACCCUU